UGGGGAAUAUUGCACAAUGGGCGCAAGCCUGAUGCAGUCAUGCCGCGUGUGUGAAGAAGGCCUUCGGUUGUAAGCACUUUCAGCGAGGAGGAAGGUGGUGAACUUAAUACGUUCAUCAAUUGACGUUACUCGCAGAAGAAGCACCGGCUAACUCCGUGCCAGCAGCCGCGGUAAUACGGAGGGUGCAAGCGUUAAUCGGAAUUACUGGGCGUAAAGCGCACGCAGGCGGUUUGUUAAGUCAGAUGUGAAAUCCCCGGGCUCAACCUGGGAACUGCAUUUGAAACUGGCAAGCUAGAAGUCUCGUAGAGGGGGGUAGAAUUCCAGGUGGUAGCGGUGAAAUGCGUAGAGAUCUGGAAGGAAUACCGGUGGCGAAGGCGGCCCCCUGGACG
Molecule: ribosomal RNA, 389 nt
Filed under: uncultured bacterium
Lineage: Bacteria
Description: partial 16S ribosomal RNA
Rfam family: Bacterial small subunit ribosomal RNA
Source: RNAcentral